RNAcentral lists this ribosomal RNA (359 nucleotides) under uncultured eukaryote. RNAcentral's name for it is "partial 18S ribosomal RNA". It matches the Rfam family "Eukaryotic small subunit ribosomal RNA", at positions 592 to 975 of the family's 1831-position model. The record is from RNAcentral.
CAAUAGCAUAUAUUAACGUUGUUGCAGUUGAAAAGCUCGUAGUUGAACUUUUGGUAGGAGCGACCUGGCCUUGGGCGCAUGCCCUUGUUUGCCGUGUGUCGUGUCUGGCCAUCCUUUUCCGUUUCGGCGGGAAUCUUUUACUGUGAGUAAACUGGAGUGCUCAAAACAAGACGUUUGUUUGGUACAUUAAAGCAUGGAAUAAUAAGAUAGGACCUGGUUACUAUUUUGUUGGUUUGCAUAGCUAGGUAAUGAUUAACAGGGACAGUUGGGGGUAUUCGUAUUUAAUUGUCAGAGGUGAAAUUCUUGGAUUUAUGAAAGACGAACGACUGCGAAAGCAUCUACCAAGGAUGUUUUCAUUG